AAGGUGGGGUGGGGCUGCUGCACUGAUCGGGCGACUCCGUGGUUGAGUAUUUGCUCUUGCAGAGGACCUGGGUUCAGUUCCCAGCACUUACAUGGUGGCUCAUAACCAUCCAGAACUCCAGCUCCAGGGGAUCCUAUGUCCUCCUCAGACUCCUGGGGGGCAUGGAAACGCACAGCACGCACAGGCAAAACACCCGUGCACACAAAGGACAUUAAACCACAUAGCCAGACUGAUUAAUAUCCAAACACAAAACCUUAAGGCUAAUUUCCUUAUCGUGAGGCUCUGUAUCUCAGGUAGACAUUUAGCAAAGCUUUGCAGCCAUCGGCUAAGCUAACGCAGGGGUGGAGAGGCACCCGGUGCAUGGCAGCUGGCUGUCCCUUGGUAACGCGCGCAGAUGGACAGAAGCAGCCUCAGCUUUUGGUCAGCUUUAUUGUUGGGCAGUGCUGCCAGUCAGCUUCAGACAGGAGGGCAUCAGUGCCCAGGGAGCCACAGGGCACUGAGGCAGGGCUCAUGCAAUGGUGCCCACUGCAGUCAGUCUGGGGAGUGGGGGGGCAAUGAAACAGCCUCAAAAAAAAAAAAAAAAAAAAAAAAAGACUCAAAACUGUUUUUAAAAACUGAAGGGUCUUGAGAUUGGCUGAGGCAAUGCCUGCCGCCUUCAGCAGUCACUGCUCAGAGGGUAGAGCUUGCAGUGACAUCCAGAGUGCACCAGAAGGGAUCCAGGA
RNAcentral lists this long non-coding RNA (722 nucleotides) under Rattus norvegicus (Norway rat). RNAcentral's name for it is "long non-coding RNA NONRATT023901". The record is from RNAcentral. Lineage: Eukaryota; Metazoa; Chordata; Mammalia; Rodentia; Muridae.